This 255-nucleotide ribosomal RNA is filed under the name uncultured bacterium. RNAcentral's name for it is "partial 16S ribosomal RNA". It matches the Rfam family "Bacterial small subunit ribosomal RNA", at positions 524 to 776 of the family's 1533-position model. The record is from RNAcentral.
CACGUAGGGGGCGAGCGUUGUCCGGAAUCAUUGGGCGUAAAGAGCUCGUAGGCGGCUCAGUAAGUCGGGUGUGAAACCCUCAGGCUCAACCUGGGGAGCGCCACCCGAUACUGCUGUGGCUAGAGUCCAGUAGGGGAGUGUGGAAUUCCCGGUGUAGCGGUGAAAUGCGCAGAUAUCGGGAGGAACACCAGCGGCGAAGGCGGCACUCUGGGCUGGAACUGACGCUGAGGAGCGAAAGCGUGGGUAGCAAACAGG